This 68-nucleotide transfer RNA is filed under the name Choerodon schoenleinii (blackspot tuskfish). RNAcentral describes it as "tRNA-Phe". It matches the Rfam family "tRNA". Rfam says of the family: Transfer RNA (tRNA) molecules are approximately 80 nucleotides in length. Their secondary structure includes four short double-helical elements and three loops (D, anti-codon, and T loops). Further hydrogen bonds mediate the characteristic L-shaped molecular structure. tRNAs have two regions of fundamental functional importance: the anti-codon, which is responsible for specific mRNA codon recognition, and the 3' end, to which the tRNAs corresponding amino acid is attached (by aminoacyl-tRNA synthetases). tRNAs cope with the degeneracy of the genetic code in two manners: having more than one tRNA (with a specific anti-codon) for a particular amino acid; and 'wobble' base-pairing, i.e. permitting non-standard base-pairing at the 3rd anti-codon position. Lineage: Eukaryota; Metazoa; Chordata; Actinopteri; Labriformes; Labridae. The record is from RNAcentral.
GCUAUCGUAGCUUAAAUAAAGCAUAACUCUGAAGAUGUUAAGAUGAGCCCUAAUAAGCUCCGAGGGCA